AGUUGCUAGGCAAGACCAAAAUGUUGAACAAGAAAGACAAGGAAAAAAAGCUAGAUCGCUUCUAAUGAUUUGGCCAACUAUUUCAAAUUGGUUUAGACGGGCUGAUACCAGUGAUAAGCAAAGAAACCAAUUUAUGCGUUUUGGAUAAAGAAUUCACGACUUUUGGC
This is a long non-coding RNA of Gordionus sp. m RMFG-2023, 167 nucleotides long. RefSeq lists it as uncharacterized. Lineage: Eukaryota; Metazoa; Nematomorpha; Gordioida; Chordodea; Parachordodidae. The transcript is spliced from 6 exons. The record is from RefSeq and is a predicted model, not a curated record.